GGAGGGUGCAAGCGUUAUCCGGAUUUACUGGGUUUAAAGGGUGUGUAGGCGGACUUUUAAGUCAGCGGUGAAAUCUCCGGGCUCAACCCGGAAACUGCCAUUGAUACUAUUGGUCUUGAAUGUUGUUGAGGUGGGCGGAACGGGUCAUGUAGCGGUGAAAUGCAUAGAUAUGACCCGGAACACCGAUUGCGUAGGCAGCCCACUAAGCAACGAUUGACGCUGAGGCACGAAAGCGUGGGGAUCAAACAGGAUUAGAUACCCUGGUAGUCCACGCCCUAAACGAUGAUUACUCGACGUUGGCGAUACACUGAUCAGCGUCCAAGCGAAAGCAUUAAGUAAUCCACCUGGGAAGUACGUUCGCAAGAAUGAA
This 370-nucleotide ribosomal RNA is filed under the name uncultured bacterium. RNAcentral describes it as "bacterial SSU rRNA". It matches the Rfam family "Bacterial small subunit ribosomal RNA", at positions 527 to 898 of the family's 1533-position model. The record is from RNAcentral.